This 497-nucleotide ribosomal RNA is filed under the name uncultured bacterium. RNAcentral describes it as "partial 16S ribosomal RNA". It matches the Rfam family "Bacterial small subunit ribosomal RNA", at positions 28 to 507 of the family's 1533-position model. The record is from RNAcentral.
GAUGAACGCUGGCGGCGUGCCUAAUACAUGCAAGUCGAGCGAACAGACGAGGAGCUUGCUCCUCUGACGUUAGCGGCGGACGGGUGAGUAACACGUGGAUAACCUACCUAUAAGACUGGGAUAACUUCGGGAAACCGGAGCUAAUACCGGAUAAUAUAUUGAACCGCGUGGUUCAAUAGUGAAAGACGGUUUUGCUGUCACUUAUAGAUGGAUCCGCGCCGCAUUAGCUAGUUGGUAAGGUAACGGCUUACCAAGGCGACGAUGCGUAGCCGACCUGAGAGGGUGAUCGGCCACACUGGAACUGAGACACGGUCCAGACUCCUACGGGAGGCAGCAGUAGGGAAUAUUCCGCAAUGGGCGAAAGCCUGACGGAGCAACGCCGCGUGAGUGAUGAAGGUCUUCGGAUCGUAAAACUCUGUUAUUAGGGAAGAACAAAUGUGUAAGUAAAUAUGCACGUCUUGACGGUACCUAAUCAGAAAGCCACGGCUAACUACGUG